Long non-coding RNA from Myiozetetes cayanensis, 3058 nucleotides. RefSeq lists it as uncharacterized. NCBI's taxonomy places the organism in Eukaryota, Metazoa, Chordata, Aves, Passeriformes, Tyrannidae. The record is from RefSeq and is a predicted model, not a curated record. The transcript has 2 exons.
UCUCGACCUCAGAAUGAAACAAAUAAGCAAAAAUCUUUUUCCUUGAUCACAGAAGGAUUUACAUUGCACUCCUUGGGUCUUCAUCACAGGAACGGGUGCAGACUAAACAGAGCUGGCUAGACAGAACGAGACAUUUCCCUUCAUACUAUCCCAGGGAAUGGGUGAAACAUGAAAUCAGUAUGAGGCGCAACAACUGCUUGCUGUCACUAGAUUUUAGUAAUUUACAAGGUUAGAUUCUUUCAACACCCAGUGUACUCAAAAUGCUUCCGGAAGCCAGUCUACUUAUUUAACCAAUGAUAGAAACCAUUUCAAAAAAUACAAGCCAGCCUGAUAUUGCAGCACUGAAUGACCUAUAGGCUUUACCCUGAUACUGAAGGGCUUCAUCGAUGUAAGACAGCCUUCCUCUGUACUUAGUCCGUACUUUCAGAAAAUUUUGAUGAUCAUAAUCAUCCCAGCCUCCUUGCCGCCCUCCUGUUCGCUGAAGAAACCUUUCAAACUCUACUACUUCUUGGGGUAGAUGAUUUUCCAGUCUUUUAUCAACUGUAACCCUGGCUGAUGGUAAUUUCAAAACUUUUUCUGUUGUUAAGCUGCCUAACGCCCACAGUUCCACUUUUCUCUCAAAGAGACUGAGCUCAUUAAUGGUAGCUUUUUCCUCCUUCAAAAGCUGUUCAUAUCUGAAAAGUGACAAACACUGGAAUGUAACAAAAAAAUCCCGUAUUCAUUGUCCAUUCACCAAAAAUUAAUUUUGGAAUUGUUCAAUGCCACACAAAAGCUGUUCUUCAAAGAUUAAGAACUGCAGUGGUAAUGGCACAGUUGUAAUGAUCUGAUAAUAAAGCACUACACAAUGAGAAUUAAGUUACCCUUUUACUGAAAGCACACAUUCAUGGCACUCACACAACUCACUCAAUCCCCUCCUGACACCAGUAGAGAGAAAGGAAAAUCCCCACAAACCCACUCAGAAAACAGAACAACAGUCAUCAGCAAAACCCCCACAAUCUAAUCUCUUCUGCAGCCUUUCUCUGAAAAGUCUUUUCUUAGGCAAAUGGUUGUUACAUUGGAAUGCUGCAGGAGCCCCUCUAAAACACAGUUUAUCAGGAUUCUACCGUUGAUAGCUCCUGCUUUGAUUUACAUACCACAGGAAUCACCGGCAAAAGAGUAAAUCUAAAGAAUAGUUUGCUGGACUAAUGAGACGUUUUCAUUGUGUCUUAUGAAAGUACUUUUUCUUACAGCUGAAGCAUGUAUAAACAUACAUUUGCCUCUGUUCCUCUUUAAAAGCAUUGAUUUCAUUUUCAAUUUCUUCCAUCAUUUCCUUGAGCUUGUCAACGACUACAAGAGGAAAAGAAGAAAAAAGCAUAUAACUUAAGAAGGAUCCAGUAUUUACCAGCACUGUCCAGAAAUGCAGAGACUUCCAGGACAGAGUUCUGCUUUUGUUUGUUUUAUAACAGUUUAUAAACAGUUUAUGCAGUUAGUGAUUUUGGUUUAUCCCAGGCUGUAGCAAUCCUAUUUAGCCUGCAGGUCAUUACUCCUACAAAGCUGACAAAGAAACAUCAAAGUAAGACUUUGUCCUGUGCUGUCAGCGUGCUGUAGUCCUGACUUUGAGAAAGAUGGUAAGACAGUUGUCCAGAGAAGAUUUCUCUUGCAAUGGCAGAAAAAAGUUUUAGAAUCUGUUUUAAACCAGCAUAAAUCUUUGUGCAUACAUAUUGAACAUGUAGUUUAACGAACCUGGGUUUUGGUAAAGUUAUAUAAUCCAAAACUCUUAUUUCAGUUUUCAUGCCUUGCUAGUUCUUGGUAUCUUCACUCACACCUUAAGAAGAUAAUGAUUUUUUUGGUAGAUAAAAUACGGAAUAAAUGAAGUGGGAUGCAUUUUAUCUAGCAUCACAAAGCCCUCAGCUAGUAGGAGGGCCUCAACUUAAGGUCCACAUGAGGUAGUGGAGUAUCAGAAGCGAAUGGUUCUUUUAGUGUCCAUUUCCCAAAAGUUUCAGAACAUCUAAACUGAACAAGUUGUUGCAGCAUUUGCUAUAGAAGGACAACAACAAGCCCAACUUAUGCAAGAAACCUGUCUGUAGACGAAAAUGUUUUUAAAUCUGUCAUCGUGACUUACAUUCUGGUGUAGGCUUCACAUCCUUUAAUUGUUGCUGAAGUCUCUUCACAUUGUUUUGUAUUUUUGAUAGCUGCUGCAGGAUUUUAGCUUCUGUUAAACAAAAUAAGGUGCUGAUAAUUCUAACAGUUUCUUUGUCCAUUAAUUCCACACAAGAACAAAACCAAUGAAGUAUCCAAAAUAAACUGGGGAUUUAAUCUAAGCAGAGACACAAAUUGUGUUUGAUCAUAAGAAUCUGCUGUAAUAUCUGUAACUGCAUAUAGCUGACCACAUGGUCCAUGUACCUCCCCACGCAGCACCAACAGAUUUUAAAAUCAGUAGCUCCCAUUCCCAAGGGGGAGUUUGGAGAAUACUGCCAAUGUAGAUGACAACUUCUCUAGAGUUUUGAGGGCAACUUUGACCCUAGGCCUCAAAACACUCAUCUGUGAAGAGAAAGCAAACUUGGAAAGUGUAUGUGAAUGCACUACUUCAGCAAGAUUUAUUUGUUUGCUGUGUUAAAUAGGGUAGAAUCAAUGUUUUUGUGUACUCCAAGCAUGUGUGCAUUAAUUUGCUUUUUUACCACUUGGCUCCUCCUCAGUCCAUAAAUAAAAUACUGAGGAGGAUGAAGUUCUGGAUACAUCUUAGAUAAUAAGGAGCUCUAUCUUCCAUCGUAAAAGAUUUGGUUUAAGAAAAGGAUAAGGGAUUCCUAAAUGUAACAAGAUGUAGCUAAGAUAUGACCCUACUGGUUCCUACUUAAGACAACACAAAGUGCAAAAGCACACAGACCAUGCUGAAGUAAAUGGAAAUUUUGAGUGUUCUUGUACAUGUUCUAAAAGAUCAUAGUCCAACAGUAUGUCGCUUCCACCUAAACUGAUCUCUCUGCACUACUGAUUAUUAAACCAUUUACAUUAAAGCCAUUUAUAUUAAAGCAACAGCAGAUUAAAGAAAAAAAGGCAAACAAUAAAUCUGAAUAAAACCCCA